CCUUAGCUGUAUCCAUGCAAGAUCCUGCACUGUACUGCCAAGGCUGUUGUUUCAACUAAUGCUGGUGGCAGGUCUGAGUUGAAGCACUGUGCAGCAGACAGCUGCACAUCACCUGUCCUCUUGCAAAGAAGAUGCAAGAAAUAUGGUGACUUUAAGAGCUAACGACAAAAACAAUCAUCAAGGAAACUAACUGGCUCAGACUCAUGGCACAGCAGGACAUCUUGUCAAGGUGAGAGGAUAUUCAGUCACCAUUAAUCUAAGAAUUACAUUGUGCGCUUCCUUCUGAAUUUAGCAGUUACUCCUGUUUA
RNAcentral lists this long non-coding RNA (308 nucleotides) under Coturnix japonica (Japanese quail). RNAcentral describes it as "lncRNA (ENSCJPG00005017538.1)". Lineage: Eukaryota; Metazoa; Chordata; Aves; Galliformes; Phasianidae. The record is from RNAcentral.